GCUCACUUGGUAGAGUAAAAGGCUCUUAACCUUAUGGUCGUGGGUUCAAGCCCCAC
RNAcentral lists this transfer RNA (56 nucleotides) under Triticum aestivum (bread wheat). It matches the Rfam family "tRNA", at positions 10 to 63 of the family's 71-position model. Rfam says of the family: Transfer RNA (tRNA) molecules are approximately 80 nucleotides in length. Their secondary structure includes four short double-helical elements and three loops (D, anti-codon, and T loops). Further hydrogen bonds mediate the characteristic L-shaped molecular structure. tRNAs have two regions of fundamental functional importance: the anti-codon, which is responsible for specific mRNA codon recognition, and the 3' end, to which the tRNAs corresponding amino acid is attached (by aminoacyl-tRNA synthetases). tRNAs cope with the degeneracy of the genetic code in two manners: having more than one tRNA (with a specific anti-codon) for a particular amino acid; and 'wobble' base-pairing, i.e. permitting non-standard base-pairing at the 3rd anti-codon position. The record is from Rfam by way of RNAcentral. RNAcentral also lists the same sequence under 1 other name. Lineage: Eukaryota; Viridiplantae; Streptophyta; Magnoliopsida; Poales; Poaceae.